CAGUCGCCGCGGGAAUACGGAGGGUGCAAGCGUUAAUCGGAAUUACUGGGCGUAAAGCGUGCGUAGGUGGUGGUUUAAGUCCGUUGUGAAAGCCCUGGGCUCAACCUGGGAAUUGCAGUGGAUACUGGGUCACUAGAGUGUGGUAGAGGAUAGUGGAAUUUCCGGUGUAGCAGUGAAAUGCGUAGAGAUCGGAAGGAACAUCUGUGGCGAAGGCGACUAUCUGGGCCAACACUGACACUGAGGCACGAAAGCGUGGGGAGCAAACAGGAUUAGAUACCCCAGUAGUCCCUGUCUCUUAUAC
RNAcentral lists this ribosomal RNA (301 nucleotides) under uncultured bacterium. Its description in RNAcentral is "partial 16S ribosomal RNA". It matches the Rfam family "Bacterial small subunit ribosomal RNA", at positions 509 to 807 of the family's 1533-position model. The record is from RNAcentral.